Long non-coding RNA from Scatophagus argus, 382 nucleotides. RefSeq lists it as uncharacterized. NCBI's taxonomy places the organism in Eukaryota, Metazoa, Chordata, Actinopteri, Scatophagidae. The transcript is spliced from 2 exons. The record is from RefSeq and is a predicted model, not a curated record.
GGAAGGGGAAGAAAGACAGAGUGAAGAAUGAAGGAACUUCAUAAAGAGGAGGUGAAGAUCCAUCUUUGGUCAUCGCCGCUGCGGUGUGUCUGCGCCGCAUUUCCCAGGGAUCAGCUGUCAGUCAAAGUGUGUGGGCAACGUGUCGUCUUUCUCUAGGAUUUUUUUUUUUUUUUCUUUUUUGAACCCUUUGAUGUUGAUGUUGUUGUUGUCGUCUGUUCAGCUGUGGUGGCGGUGAACAAGCCCUGCUCUUCUUCUAUUUAUUCCAAACCCACCGCACAUGUAAAAUGCAUCACUUCCUGUGCAACUGGGUGAGGAGAUGGCACCAGCUACUGCUGUAAAAAUCUUUCACUGUUAAAUAAAAGCGGCUUGCUUGUUAUUGCUA